Molecule: ribosomal RNA, 562 nt
Filed under: Bacillus thuringiensis
Lineage: Bacteria; Bacillati; Bacillota; Bacilli; Caryophanales; Bacillaceae
Description: bacterial SSU rRNA
Rfam family: Bacterial small subunit ribosomal RNA
Source: RNAcentral
AAAAGAGUCGAGCGAAUGGAUUGAGAGCUUGCUCUCAUGAAGUUAGCGGCGGACGGGUGAGUAACACGUGGGUAACCUGCCCAUAAGACUGGGAUAACUCCGGGAAACCGGGGCUAAUACCGGAUAACAUUUUGAACUGCAUGGUUCGAAAUUGAAAGGCGGCUUCGGCUGUCACUUAUGGAUGGACCCGCGUCGCAUUAGCUAGUUGGUGAGGUAACGGCUCACCAAGGCAACGAUGCGUAGCCGACCUGAGAGGGUGAUCGGCCACACUGGGACUGAGACACGGCCCAGACUCCUACGGGAGGCAGCAGUAGGGAAUCUUCCGCAAUGGACGAAAGUCUGACGGAGCAACGCCGCGUGAGUGAUGAAGGCUUUCGGGUCGUAAAACUCUGUUGUUAGGGAAGAACAAGUGCUAGUUGAAUAAGCUGGCACCUUGACGGGACCUAACCAGAAAGCCACGGCUAACUACGUGCCAGCAGCCGCGGUAAUACGUAGGUGGCAAGCGUUAUCCGCAAAUAUUGCGCCUCAAGUCCGCGCCCGCCUUUUCUUUUUUUUGAUGUUA